GGCAAGUAGGGGGGAGGGGCGGGUGGAAUAGGUAGGGGGGGGGUGUGGGCCGGAAUGUCUGGGCGUAAAGGGCGCGUAGGUGGGUUGUUGCGUUGUUCGUGAAAACUCGCAGCUUAACUGUGGGCGGGCGGGCGAGACGGGCAGACUAGAGGACUGCAGGGGAGACUGGAAUUCCUGGUGUAGCGGUGGAAUGCGCAGAUAUCAGGAGGAACACCGGUGGCGAAGGCGGGUCUCUGGGCAGUAACUGACGCUGAGGAGCGAAAGCGUGGGGAGCGAACAGGAUUAGAUACCCUGGUAGUC
Molecule: ribosomal RNA, 300 nt
Filed under: uncultured bacterium
Lineage: Bacteria
Description: partial 16S ribosomal RNA
Rfam family: Bacterial small subunit ribosomal RNA (bases 52-300)
Source: RNAcentral